Molecule: ribosomal RNA, 481 nt
Filed under: uncultured bacterium
Lineage: Bacteria
Description: partial 16S ribosomal RNA
Rfam family: Bacterial small subunit ribosomal RNA
Source: RNAcentral
GACGAACGCUGGCGGCGUGCUUAACACAUGCAAGUCGAGCGAUGAAGUUUCUUCGGAAAUGGAUUAGCGGCGAACGGGUGAGGAACACGUGAAGAAUCUGCCCUCCACUUUGGGAUAACACCGGGAAACCGGUGCUAAUACCGAAUAUUGAAACAUAAGUGGCAUCACUGAGUUUUGAAAGAAUUGCGGUGGAGGAUGACUUCGCGGCCUAUCAGCUAGUUGGUGAGGUAAUGGCUCACCAAGGCAACGACGGGUAGCCGGCCUGAGAGGGCGACCGGCCACACUGGGACUGAGACACGGCCCAGACUCCUACGGGAGGCAGCAGUGGGGAAUAUUGGGCAAUGGAGGGAACUCUGACCCAGCGACGCCGCGUGCGGGAUGAAGGCCUUCGGGUUGUAAACCGCUUUCAGUAGGGAAGAAGCGAAAGUGACGGUACCUACAAAAGAAGCACCGGCUAACUAUGUGCCAGCCGCCGCCGUAA